Molecule: ribosomal RNA, 1230 nt
Filed under: Salmonella enterica
Lineage: Bacteria; Pseudomonadati; Pseudomonadota; Gammaproteobacteria; Enterobacterales; Enterobacteriaceae
Also listed under: 1 other name
Description: partial 23S ribosomal RNA
Rfam family: Bacterial large subunit ribosomal RNA
Source: RNAcentral
AGCAACAAAUGCCCUGCUUCCAGGAAAAGCCUCUAAGCCUCAGGUAACAUCAAAUCGUACCCCAAACCGACACAGGUGGUCAGGUAGAGAAUACCAAGGCGCUUGAGAGAACUCGGGUGAAGGAACUAGGCAAAAUGGUGCCGUAACUUCGGGAGAAGGCACGCUGACACGUAGGUGAAGUGGUUUACCCAUGGAGCUGAAGUCAGUCGAAGAUACCAGCUGGCUGCAACUGUUUAUUAAAAACACAGCACUGUGCAAACACGAAAGUGGACGUAUACGGUGUGACGCCUGCCCGGUGCCGGAAGGUUAAUUGAUGGGGUCAGCGCAAGCGAAGCUCCUGAUCGAAGCCCCGGUAAACGGCGGCCGUAACUAUAACGGUCCUAAGGUAGCGAAAUUCCUUGUCGGGUAAGUUCCGACCUGCACGAAUGGCGUAAUGAUGGCCAGGCUGUCUCCACCCGGGACUCAGUGAAAUUGAACUCGCUGUGAAGAUGCAGUGUACCCGCGGCAAGACGGAAAGACCCCGUGAACCUUUACUAUAGCUUGACACUGAACACUGGUCCUUGAUGUGCAGGAUAGGUGGGAGGCUUUGAAGUGUGGACGCCAGUCUGCAUGGAGCCAUCCUUGAAAUACCACCCUUUAAUGGCUGGUGUUCUAACGUGGGCCCCUGACCGGGGUUGCGGACAGUGUCUGGUGGGUAGUUUGACUGGGGCGGUCUCCUCCUAAAGAGUAACGGAGGAGCACGAAGGUUGGCUAAUCCUGGUCGGACAUCAGGAGGUUAGUGCAAUGGCAUAAGCCAGCUUGACUGCGAGCGUGACGGCGCGAGCAGGUGCGAAAGCAGGUCAUAGUGAUCCGGUGGUUCUGAAUGGAAGGGCCAUCGCUCAACGGAUAAAAGGUACUCCGGGGAUAACAGGCUGAUACCGCCCAAGAGUUCAUAUCGACGGCGGUGUUUGGCACCUCGAUGUCGGCUCAUCACAUCCUGGGGCUGAAGUAGGUCCCAAGGGUAUGGCUGUUCGCCAUUUAAAGUGGUACGCGAGCUGGGUUUAGAACGUCGUGAGACAGUUCGGUCCCUAUCUGCCGUGGGCGCUGGAAGAUUGAGGGGGGCUGCUCCUAGUACGAGAGGACCGGAGUGGACGCAUCACUGGUGUUCGGGUUGUCAUGCCAAUGGCACUGCCCGGUAGCUACAUGCGGAAGAGAUAAGUGCUGAAAGCAUCUAAGCACGAAACUUGCCCC